GGACUACCCGGGUAUCUAAUCCUGUUUGCUCCCCACGCUCUCGCGCCUCAGCGUCAGUAUCUGUCCAGGUAGCCGCCUUCGCCACGGGUGUUCCUUCCGAUCUCUACGCAUUUCACCGCUACACCGGAAAUUCCACUACCCUCUACAGUACUCCAGUUCAACAGUCUGGAUUGCCAUUCCCAGGUUAAGCCCGGGGAUUUCACAACCCACUUAUUAAACCGCCUACGCGCCCUUUACGCCCAGUAAUUCCGAUUAACGCUCGCACCCUCUGUAUUACCGCGGCUGCUGGCAC
This 292-nucleotide ribosomal RNA is filed under the name uncultured bacterium. RNAcentral describes it as "partial 16S ribosomal RNA". The record is from RNAcentral.